RNAcentral lists this unclassified non-coding RNA (379 nucleotides) under uncultured Cystofilobasidium. RNAcentral's name for it is "sequence contains ITS1". The stretch from base 1 to 105 matches the Rfam family "5.8S ribosomal RNA", at positions 50 to 154 of the family's 154-position model. The record is from RNAcentral. Lineage: Eukaryota; Fungi; Basidiomycota; Tremellomycetes; Cystofilobasidiales; Cystofilobasidiaceae.
GAAUUGCGAUAAGUAAUGUGAAUUGCAGAAUUCAGUGAAUCAUCGAAUCUUUGAACGCAUCUUGCGCUCUUUGGUAUUCCGAAGAGCAUGCCUGUUUGAGUGUCAUGAAACUCUCACCUCCAGCCCUUUUUAAUUAGAGGUGCUGGGGCGUGGAUGUGAGUGCUGCUGGUGCCCUGGCUGCAUCGGCUCACUUGAAAAACAUUAGCUGAAUCCACUAAAGUUGGUUCUACUCGACGUGAUAAGAUCUCCGUCGAGGACAGUACUGUAAUGGUGCUGGCCAACGAUAGUGUUGAAUCGCUUCUAAUUAGCGCAGACUUCGAGUGCUGGCAACUUUUGACAACUUGGCCUCAAAUCAGGUAGGACUACCCACUGAACUUAA